Molecule: microRNA precursor, 70 nt
Organism: Homo sapiens (human)
Lineage: Eukaryota; Metazoa; Chordata; Mammalia; Primates; Hominidae
Source: Ensembl
UGAGCCGAGCUGAGCUUAGCUGGGCUGAGCUAACCAGGGCUGGGCUGAGCUGGGCUGAGCUGAGCUGAGC